CGAGAGGACCUGUGCUAUGGAUCCAAAAAUUUCUUGCCCCUUCAUCGUAUAAUUUCUGAGGAAAAGAAAAGUGCAGAAGUAUUAGAACAAAGGGAGUCUGACCAAUGUAAGUUAUUCUUCUUUAGUAAAACACAUUGUUUUAUCAAAAACAUGAUGAAAUUAUGUUGGAAUAUUGAAUAGUGUGAAAUUUGAAGGAGAUUCUAUUAUAAGUUAAUUCAACCUUGAUUCCUGUUUCAAAUUCUAAUAAAAUUGUUGGUAUUGAAGCAAGAACUUGAUCCAAAGAUUUCGAGUAGAAAGCUCCAGCAAGAUCAUUCUGCCCUAUGUCAAACAUAUAAAGGCCCUUCCCAAAAUAUUCUGCAGAAGGAAGGUACUUAUCGAGCCUUUUAGCUGCAACAAAUUACAUAAACCAAAACUUACGUUAAAAAAGCAUUAUUGUAAUGUCAUCUUCUUCAUUUAUAGAAGAUAGAAGUAGCUAAAUCAAAGAUGAUCCAAUUUAAUUACUUACAUUUGGCUUGAAUUUCGAGAACACGAGCUUUGAAUCUAAGAAACUGAGCCAGCUGAAUCCCAAAUGAAAAUGGACUAGCAGAUGAUGCAGUUGCUGGAAGUAUGGUAGAGCCUGCAGCUGCAAAGUUGCAUCCUUUUUUGAAACUCGGCGCCCCUAUUGCGUCUAAAUAGGCGUUUAAAAAUGGUAAAUCCAUCGCAUCCACUGCAAAAAAUUAUCCCUUAAAAAUUCAAUACAGGAUUAAGUAUGUAAUUACACAGGCUUUACAAUAUAUUCACUCACAAUGUACUAUUAUUUGUCAGCAUAAUGAAACCAGAGGAAACAGGGCAAUUAACUACUCAAAAAACAGAGGAAACAGGGGAAUGUACUAGUCAGAAAACAGAGGAUCAGGGGAAUCUACAACGUAGAAAACAGAGUAAAAACAGGGGAAUCUUUUAUAAAUUUUAAAAAUUAAAAUUGAAACUGAUAGUCUACAUACAUAAG
RNAcentral lists this long non-coding RNA (985 nucleotides) under Panax ginseng (ginseng). Its description in RNAcentral is "long non-coding RNA (PGIN_LNC000130)". The record is from RNAcentral. Lineage: Eukaryota; Viridiplantae; Streptophyta; Magnoliopsida; Apiales; Araliaceae.